AAAAGGUGCCUGCCUUCGGGGCAGGAUAAUAGGGAACAGGGUGAGAAUCCCUGGCGGUCCCGCCGCUGUAAGAGCGGAGUCUCAUUCCGGUCCUGAAAAAACAGGUUCCAAGCCACUGGCUUUUGACAUGCCGGGAAGGCGGAGUGUUGAGGCCAAGAUGCUCAAGCCAGAAGACCUGCCUUUGCC
Molecule: non-coding RNA, 186 nt
Filed under: chicken gut metagenome
Source: RNAcentral